Cyprinus carpio (common carp) is the source of this 442-nucleotide long non-coding RNA. RefSeq lists it as uncharacterized. NCBI's taxonomy places the organism in Eukaryota, Metazoa, Chordata, Actinopteri, Cypriniformes, Cyprinidae. The transcript has 3 exons. The record is from RefSeq and is a predicted model, not a curated record.
UCUGAUCUGGAUCAGUACUGGUGUAGAGGACAGAGAGAUGAGAGACCAAACUCAUCACAGGAGAGUAACCGAAUUCAUCUGUCUGUUAAUGUCUCAGAUGCUUCAUCUUCUCUUCUGGUCACUGCUGUGGUUGUGGGAUCGAGUGUUUGCUUGUUGAUCUUCAUCUCACUGCUGCUGCUGUGGAGAUACAAGAAGAACAAAGAUCAGCAGCGUAACAUUAACCAGACAUCAGUCCCAAAUCAAUCUGCAGAAUCUCAACCAGAAAACUCUCCUCUACAGUCUGGUCAGCCUCACUAACUAAUCAUUUAAAGUCAUAGUCUUCUGUGGAUAUUUUCAAAAUUGUCUCAGUUGCUUUAUUUUUCCCAUACAAUUAAAGUCCCAAUGAUGUUUGAACACCAGCAUUCUUAAAAUUUUAUUAUUUCCAGCAUGUUCUGAACACUUU